This 1509-nucleotide ribosomal RNA is filed under the name uncultured bacterium. RNAcentral's name for it is "bacterial SSU rRNA". It matches the Rfam family "Bacterial small subunit ribosomal RNA". The record is from RNAcentral.
AGAGUUUGAUCCUGGCUCAGGACGAACGCUGGCGGCGUGCCUAAUACAUGCAAGUAGAACGCUGAAGAGAGGAGCUUGCUCUUCUUGGAUGAGUUGCGAACGGGUGAGUAACGCGUAGGUAACCUGCCUUGUAGCGGGGGAUAACUAUUGGAAACGAUAGCUAAUACCGCAUAACAAUGGAUGACACAUGUCAUUUAUUUGAAAGGGGCAAUUGCUCCACUACAAGAUGGACCUGCGUUGUAUUAGCUAGUAGGUGAGGUAACGGCUCACCUAGGCGACGAUACAUAGCCGACCUGAGAGGGUGAUCGGCCACACUGGGACUGAGACACGGCCCAGACUCCUACGGGAGGCAGCAGUAGGGAAUCUUCGGCAAUGGGGGCAACCCUGACCGAGCAACGCCGCGUGAGUGAAGAAGGUUUUCGGAUCGUAAAGCUCUGUUGUAAGUCAAGAACGAGUGUGAGAGUGGAAAGUUCACACUGUGACGGUAGCUUACCAGAAAGGGACGGCUAACUACGUGCCAGCAGCCGCGGUAAUACGUAGGUCCCGAGCGUUGUCCGGAUUUAUUGGGCGUAAAGCGAGCGCAGGCGGUUUGAUAAGUCUGAAGUUAAAGGCUGUGGCUCAACCAUAGUUCGCUUUGGAAACUGUCAAACUUGAGUGCAGAAGGGGAGAGUGGAAUUCCAUGUGUAGCGGUGAAAUGCGUAGAUAUAUGGAGGAACACCGGUGGCGAAAGCGGCUCUCUGGUCUGUAACUGACGCUGAGGCUCGAAAGCGUGGGGAGCGAACAGGAUUAGAUACCCUGGUAGUCCACGCCGUAAACGAUGAGUGCUAGGUGUUGGAUCCUUUCCGGGAUUCAGUGCCGCAGCUAACGCAUUAAGCACUCCGCCUGGGGAGUACGACCGCAAGGUUGAAACUCAAAGGAAUUGACGGGGGCCCGCACAAGCGGUGGAGCAUGUGGUUUAAUUCGAAGCAACGCGAAGAACCUUACCAGGUCUUGACAUCCCGAUGCUAUUUCUAGAGAUAGAAAGUUACUUCGGUACAUCGGUGACAGGUGGUGCAUGGUUGUCGUCAGCUCGUGUCGUGAGAUGUUGGGUUAAGUCCCGCAACGAGCGCAACCCCUAUUGUUAGUUGCCAUCAUUCAGUUGGGCACUCUAGCGAGACUGCCGGUAAUAAACCGGAGGAAGGUGGGGAUGACGUCAAAUCAUCAUGCCCCUUAUGACCUGGGCUACACACGUGCUACAAUGGUUGGUACAACGAGUUGCGAGUCGGUGACGGCAAGCUAAUCUCUUAAAGCCAAUCUCAGUUCGGAUUGUAGGCUGCAACUCGCCUACAUGAAGUCGGAAUCGCUAGUAAUCGCGGAUCAGCACGCCGCGGUGAAUACGUUCCCGGGCCUUGUACACACCGCCCGUCACACCACGAGAGUUUGUAACACCCGAGGUCGGUGAGGUAACCUUUUGGAGCCAGCCGCCUAAGGUGGGAUAGAUGAUUGGGGUGAAGUCGUAACAAGGUAGCC